This is a long non-coding RNA of Acanthochromis polyacanthus (spiny chromis), 980 nucleotides long. RefSeq lists it as uncharacterized. The transcript is spliced from 3 exons. The record is from RefSeq and is a predicted model, not a curated record. NCBI's taxonomy places the organism in Eukaryota, Metazoa, Chordata, Actinopteri, Pomacentridae.
UUGUUUGAUUAAUAAAGUAGAAAUAUGUUUAAAUGAAAUGAAUUAAUCAUGUUUAUGUUUACUAAAUGAUUUGUUCUUGUUGGUUGUACAUGGUUUCAAAGAAAUUCAAACCAAUUAAAUUGAUUCAUGUGAGUCCAACAAGAAUGAGAUUAAUCAAAGCAAUAUGACUCCAGUGGUCAGCUACUGCGCAUGCUCCAUGCCCCAAGGUCUCCUGGGAAAUAACUGAAGAAUCGUCAGGUCCUUUCCCGCUCAGUCCUUUGUUAUCUUCGCUCUUACAAACAUUGAGUGCAAGUCAAUCUGUGUCUCUGUAUGAUCAUUUGUAUGCACCCUGUUUUUUAAAUGUGAGGUGUAUGUGGCAGUGCAGACAUUGUGACACAAGAGAGAGAACUAGGUACAAAUUACUUAAACAUUAUAAACUAUACCAUCAUUGUGGAAGAGGCCAACAUUAUCUGUGCAUAAAUGUUAGUUGUCCAUGCUCAUUCAAGACUUGGACUGGACUCAAAGCCCAUGUCUAUAAAUGUCAUCCAUAUCAGCUUGUAUCAACAGCUUCCAGUUCAGUAACUUUUAAAUGUGAGUUGUGUGAUCGCAGUGACAUCUCAACAGAAAGAGACUUUUUUGUUCAUAUUGGAACACAUCUGCGCAAUAUAGAAACAGUUAACUGUGUAUUUAAUGGUUGCUCUUUCAGGACAAAUGUCCAUAGUACAUUUUACACACACAAAAAGAGGAAGCAUCAUCCACACACACUAGGUGAUUUUAAAGCUAGUGUAGUUAGAUUUGUGGACCCAGUAAGAGUAUCAGAUACCUCUGACAAUGUGAGGGCUGGCAUUUCUGUUGUUGUGUCAGAUGAUGAAGUUGAGACCGAGUCAGUGACAGAAGGUGAUGAUGAUGAUGUUCAAAGUCUUCCAAAACUAAUUGAGCGAAAAAUAGCUGCAAUUUUGUUAAAAUUAGAAUAUAUAUUUCAUAUUCCAGCAAAAGGAGUG